AUGUCUCCUUGGAUGUAUAUUUAUAGGGAGUCGAACCUGCCCAGUGACUAAGAUGUUAAACGGCCGCGGUACCCUAACCGUGCAAAGGUAGCAUAAUCAUUUGCCUUUUAAUUGGAGGCUUGUAUGAAUGGUUUGACGAGAGCUAUGCUGUCUCUUUUAAAAUAAUUAGAAAUUAACUUUUAGGUGAAGAGGCCUAAAUGAAGCUGAGGGACAAGAAGACCCUAUUGAGCUUUAGUAUAUCUGAGUUAAGUGAUUUUGGUUUUGUUUUCAUUUAUGAAAUAUUUUAAUUCAGGGAUUCUUUAGUUGGGGCGACUGAGGAACAUAAAAAGCUUCCUUGUGAGUUUUAUAAUGUAAUUUAUUUAUAUUGAUGAAUUAGUUUGAUCCGGCUUUUGUCGAUUAAGAGAAAAAGUUACCAUAGGGAUAACAGCGUAAUCUUUCUGGAGAGAUCAUAUCGAAAGAAGGGUUUGCGACCUCGAUGUUGGACUAAGAUAUCCUAAAGGUGUAGAAGCUUUUAAGGGUUGGUCUGUUCGACCAUUAAAAUCUUACGUGAUCUGU
Molecule: ribosomal RNA, 555 nt
Filed under: Umbonium thomasi
Lineage: Eukaryota; Metazoa; Mollusca; Gastropoda; Trochida; Trochidae
Description: partial 16S ribosomal RNA
Rfam family: Bacterial large subunit ribosomal RNA
Source: RNAcentral